Molecule: unclassified non-coding RNA, 313 nt
Filed under: uncultured fungus
Lineage: Eukaryota; Fungi
Description: partial contains 5.8S ribosomal RNA and internal transcribed spacer 2
Rfam family: 5.8S ribosomal RNA (bases 1-133)
Source: RNAcentral
UGGUUCUGGCAUCGAUGAAGAACGCAGCGAAAUGCGAUAAGUAAUGUGAAUUGCAGAAUUCAGUGAAUCAUCGAAUCUUUGAACGCACAUUGCGCCCUUUGGUAUUCCGAAGGGCAUGCCUGUUCGAGCGUCAUUUCACCCCUCAAGCCUCGCUUGGUGUUGGGCGCCGCGGUCCGCCGCGCGCCUCGAAGUCGUCCGGCUCCGCUGCUCGUCUCUAAGCGUCGUGACCCAUGUUCGCGGUGAGAUCGGGGGGCGGGGGCCGUUAAACACCCCACCACAGGUUGACCUCGGAUCAGGUAGGGAUACCCGCUGA